GGUGACGGCAGUUGUGAUGGAGUGGGAUUCAGAUUCCGCCAGGUGCUUAGCAGUACUCAGCUGUUGACAGGGGUAGUAUGAUGUCGAGUAGAUUUGGAGGACGUGGCACAAUCGAUGACCAACGAAUUAGGGACUGGGUGUUUAAAGAGGGGAUUCCAUGGUACUCACAAGCCGAAGUCCAAAGCCAGAAAUCAGUCCGAUCUUUCGCCAAACAGUGGAACAAGAAGGCCAAGGUAAUUUCAGUCCGGGUCAAAAUGAUAGUAGUAGUCAAUAGAAUAGUCAAACAGUCCAAUAUCAAAAGCCAGUGAAUCAAAACUGAGAAAUUUUUCCAAAGAUUCAGCACAAAGGAGCCGUAGAAACCAAGUGAUUUCCACAGCGGUCGCAAAGGAACUGAGCAGCCUGCGCUUCCUUCCGCCUUAAAUAGCCAUGCGCAGGCGCCUGAAAGGAGCUGUAAAACUCGACACCGAGAGGCUUCCACGCAGGCACAGAACCCAUUCUAAUGCAUAUCAACGGAUCCCGUACCAGAUCCAUCUGUUUGGAUGGUUGGAUGACUUUCAGAUGGUUACUCCUGAGGAUGGGGAGAAAAUGCUCUGGA
Hemicordylus capensis (graceful crag lizard) is the source of this 595-nucleotide long non-coding RNA. RefSeq lists it as uncharacterized. The transcript is spliced from 3 exons. NCBI's taxonomy places the organism in Eukaryota, Metazoa, Chordata, Lepidosauria, Squamata, Cordylidae. The record is from RefSeq and is a predicted model, not a curated record.